GCUGGGCAUAGUGGCCCACACCUGUAAUCCCAGCUGCGUGGGAGGCUGAGUCAGGAGGAUUGAGAGUUCAAAACCAGACUCAGCAACGGUGAGAUGCUAAGCAACUCAGUGAGACCCUGUCUCUA
Molecule: small RNA, 125 nt
Filed under: Marmota monax (woodchuck)
Lineage: Eukaryota; Metazoa; Chordata; Mammalia; Rodentia; Sciuridae
Source: RNAcentral